Molecule: transfer RNA, 61 nt
Filed under: Uromastyx ocellata
Lineage: Eukaryota; Metazoa; Chordata; Lepidosauria; Squamata; Agamidae
Source: RNAcentral
GACCCAAAAUAAUGCUGAAGUGCAAAUUCGGUAGUGAAAACAUAAUGUGUUUUGUGGGUCU